GACAGAGGGUGCAAACGUUGUUCGGAAUUACUGGGCGUAAAGCGCGUGUAGGCUGCUUCGCAAGUCGGAUGUGAAAGCCCUGGGCUCAACCCAGGAAGUGCAUUCGAAAACUGCAGAGCUGGAGUCCUGGAGAGGAAGGCGGAAUUCUCGGUGUAGAGGUGAAAUUCGUAGAUAUCGAGAGGAACACCGGUGGCGAAGGCGGCCUUCUGGACAGUGACUGACGCUGAGACGCGAAAGCGUGGGGAGCAAACAGG
RNAcentral lists this ribosomal RNA (254 nucleotides) under uncultured bacterium. Its description in RNAcentral is "partial 16S ribosomal RNA". It matches the Rfam family "Bacterial small subunit ribosomal RNA", at positions 524 to 776 of the family's 1533-position model. The record is from RNAcentral.